UUGAUUAAUGAUGAAAAUGUGCCAUGAACCAAGGAUUAUGGUUGAUCCAAUUCUGUAUGGGAGAAGUCCAUC
This 72-nucleotide small nucleolar RNA is filed under the name Pteropus vampyrus (large flying fox). RNAcentral's name for it is "Small nucleolar RNA SNORD112 (ENSPVAG00000029369.1)". The record is from RNAcentral. Lineage: Eukaryota; Metazoa; Chordata; Mammalia; Chiroptera; Pteropodidae.